GCGAGGGUGGCGGAAUCGGCAUACGCACAAGCCUAAGGAGCUUGGCUCUCUGAGCGUGAGGGUUCAAAUCCCUUCCCUCGCA
This 82-nucleotide transfer RNA is filed under the name Candidatus Omnitrophota bacterium. RNAcentral's name for it is "tRNA-Leu". It matches the Rfam family "tRNA". From Rfam's summary of the family: Transfer RNA (tRNA) molecules are approximately 80 nucleotides in length. Their secondary structure includes four short double-helical elements and three loops (D, anti-codon, and T loops). The record is from RNAcentral. Lineage: Bacteria; Pseudomonadati; Candidatus Omnitrophota.